Molecule: ribosomal RNA, 1453 nt
Filed under: uncultured bacterium
Lineage: Bacteria
Description: bacterial SSU rRNA
Rfam family: Bacterial small subunit ribosomal RNA
Source: RNAcentral
GAUGAACGCUAGCGAUAGGCUUAACACAUGCAAGUCGAGGGGCAGCAUAGGGGGUAGUAAUACUCUGGGUGGCGACCGGCGCACGGGUGAGUAACAGGUAUGCAAUCUGCCCCAUGGCGGGGGAUAACCCGGAGAAAUCCGGCCUAAUACCCCAUAGAACAUAAAUGUCGCAUGGUAUUUAUGUUAAAGAUUAAUUGUCAUGGGAUGAGCAUGCUUUCCAUUAGGUAGUUGGGGUGGUAACGGCGCACCAAGCCGACGAUGGAUAGGGGCACUGAGAGGUUUGUCCCCCACACCGGUACUGAGACACGGACCGGACUCCUACGGGAGGCAGCAGUGAGGAAUAUUGGUCAAUGGGCGGGAGCCUGAACCAGCCAAGUCGCGUGAAGGAUGAAGGUAUUAUGUAUUGUAAACUUCUUUUACAGGGGAAUAAAAAUGAUCAUGCGUGGUCAGUUGCAGGUACCCUGGGAAUAAGCAUCGGCUAACUCCGUGCCAGCAGCCGCGGUAAUACGGAGGAUGCGAGCGUUAUCCGGAUUUAUUGGGUUUAAAGGGUGCGUAGGCGGGGAUUCAAGUCAGUGGUGAAAGUUUGGGGCUUAACCUUAAAAUUGCCAUUGAAACUGGGUUUCUUGAGAUCAGUAGAGGUAGGCGGAAUGCGCGGUGUAGCGGUGAAAUGCAUAGAUAUCGCGCAGAACCCCGAUUGCGAAGGCAGCUUACUGGAGUGUAUCUGACGCUGAAGCACGAAAGCGCGGGGAUCAAACAGGAUUAGAUACCCUGGUAGUCCGCGCUGUAAACGAUGAUUACUAGUUGUUUGCGAUAUUAUAGUAAGCGACACAGCGAAAGCGUUAAGUAAUCCACCUGGGGAGUACGCCGGCAACGGUGAAACUCAAAGGAAUUGACGGGGGCCCGCACAAGCGGAGGAACAUGUGGUUUAAUUCGAUGAUACGCGAGGAACCUUACCCGGGCUCGAACGGCUAAUGAAUAUGUAUGAAAGUAUGUAGCUAGUAAUAGCAUUAGUCGAGGUGCUGCAUGGUUGUCGUCAGCUCGUGCCGUGAGGUGUCGGCUUAAGUGCCAUAACGAGCGCAACCCUUACCGUUGGUUGCCAUCAGGUUAAGCUGGGGACUCCAAUGGGACUGCCACCGUAAGGUGUGAGGAAGGUGGGGAUGACGUCAAAUCAGCACGGCCCUUACGUCCGGGGCUACACACGUGUUACAAUGGCCGGUACAGAGGGCAGCUACACAGCGAUGUGAUGCGAAUCUCGAAAAGCCGGUCCCAGUUCGGAUCGGAGUCUGCAACCCGACUCCGUGAAGCCGGAUUCGCUAGUAAUCGCGCAUCAGCCAUGGCGCGGUGAAUACGUUCCCGGGCCUUGUACACACCGCCCGUCAAGCCAUGGAAGCCUGGGGGACCUGAAGUACGUAACCGCAAGGAGCGUCCUAGGGUAAAACAGGUAACUGGGGCU